Molecule: long non-coding RNA, 4233 nt
Filed under: Malus domestica (apple)
Lineage: Eukaryota; Viridiplantae; Streptophyta; Magnoliopsida; Rosales; Rosaceae
Description: long non-coding RNA (MDOM_LNC010909)
Source: RNAcentral
UCAAUCUAGUUUUGGAAGGGGCACGGGAGAGAAACAUAUAGAAAUGGAGUCAACUGAAGGGCCAUGGACUGCUUCGUCUGCGUCUGCUCACGAUCUGUAUCCCGUCCAUCCUGAUUCAGAUUACUGGAAGAACAGAAGCGAUAUAACUUGAGCUGCACAGUUAUCAGUUUGACUCAACCUUGGCACACUCAAACACAUCAAAUAAUAAAUCAUUUGUAUUUCCUCUAUAACUAUUUGUUGACGUGAGUCAACCAUAUAGUUUAGGAAUGUGAUCAUGUGAUUGAUUCCUUGUAUAAUUCGGAUUCUUAUUUCCUAUUUUAUGGGACCUCUUGAACAACUAUUUAUUUACCUCCUAGAGAGAAGGAUACGUACAAUUACACCUUAACUUUUAUGUCGGUAUCAGAGGAUGCUUCGGCCCGUCUCUUUCCAAAAACCCUUAAAAACCCCCUCAAGGCAUGCAACUUGCAUCAAGAAUUAUUGCUGGUGUUUGUCACGAACCGAGAAAUCCAACGUCUGUGGCUUUGGAAUAAACAAAGCUACAAAGUCAAAAAAACAUAUCAAAAUAAACCUACAAAUCAGUCCCUGCAAUGACUGAAGACAGAAAAACAAAAACCGGUGAGAUAAUUCCCAUGCAAACUAUGUCUAUUCAAAGUGAGUCUACCAAAAUCAGCGGCCUUCCAUUCAGAUUUAGAUUGAGCGACUCGAAUUUCAAAGUUUAGUCGAAGAUGAUGGAGGUCCAUGCCUCUGGCCUUGGCAAACUGGGGUAUUUGACAGGAAAAACCCCUGUUGUUGCUGAAGACUCGCCUGGAUAUACAAAGUGGGUCAAUGAUCACUGCUAUAGUACGAGGAUGGUUGUUGAAAACCAUGAAGCCCCACCUAUCGAGUCUCUUUAUUGACUUGCCGACAGCCAAAGAUGUGUGGGAAAGUGUAACCCAGAUGUUUUACGACAAUUCAGACGAGUUCCAAUAUUGUGAACUCAGGUGUAGGGCUACGCGAACUAAACAAGACGGUCGUCCAGUAAAUUUGUACUUCACUGAACUCAAAGGAGUAUCGCAAGAUCUUGAUAAAAGGCGCCCUAUCAAGAUGAUAUGCAAAGCAGACCUGCAAAGCCGUAGGGAGGAGCUUUCAAAGGACAGGGUUUACGACUUUGUUGCGGGGUUAGAUCAUGGUUUUGAUCAAGUCAGGAGUGAAAUCCUAAGGAUGAAACCUAUCCCUGGGAUUGAAGAAUGUUUUUAUUUGGUUAGACGUGAAGGCCAGAGACAAACCCCUAUGCUUGAAACAAAAUCUAAAACCACAAGCUCUUCUAUGGUGAUGAUCACCAAGUCCCCAUCAUCAUCAUCCUUUCGUUUAACAUCCGCGGGAACAUCUAGCCCAAAUCGCACCCAAGAAGAUAUUUGACACGCCCCGAUCCCGAUAUUCCUCGAAUACCAAGAUAGGCACGUGCUGGCCGACACCCAAGGGUGACGAAAGCCAUUAAUUGAAUGCAAAUGCUGAGAAUAAGGAAUAGAUAAGGUUUAUAAAUAUAAAAGAAUAAAGAAUAUGCAUUUAAGGAACGUGUUCAGAGCACACAUCUAAUCGAGAAUAUUAGAAGAAUUAACAUAAACAAUUUGAAUGAACACAGAACGGGGUCCUACACCUAGAGGACUCGAAGAUACCGAUGCGGAAGUGUCUGGAUGCCGGGAUUGUACGCCUCGAUUCUAAGUCCUGAAGGGGGCGCAAAACAAACAUGAGUGGACCAAGUUGAUAUAUAUAUAAUAAAACAGUUAUCAACGUACUAACCCCCAGGUUUAUGAAAACAUAUAUAUAAUGAUAAACAUAGGUUUUCCGAAUUCUAGCAUGAUGUGCAGUAUCUCAAAUCAUAAUUCAUAUAUAAUAAUCACUAGUGAAUUGUCCGAUAACCCCCAGGCCCCAUGCCGGCUCCCCGUCUCUGAGCAGACAGUCAGAGGAAAAUACACUUCAGGCCCUAUGCCGGCUCCCCGUCCCUAUGCUAAAUAGCCAGAGGAAACACACUCCAAGCCCUAUGCCAACACCAAACCGUCGCCCGGGACGGACCGGAAUCUAUCCCUACGUCCCAUAGCAGAAAGGACCACUAGGUAAGUACAAAACCAUUGAACAUAUAUAUAUAUUAAAAAACAACUUCAUAGUAUAAAGUCAUCCAUCAUCUAUACUAUAAAGAGGUGUUCGAAACAUGUUCUACAUAUCAUAUCGUCAUCCAUCGGAUAUUCUAUAAGAACAUGGGUUAUAGGAAAAAUAGUAAUAAUUCAAACUAGCCUUAGUAAGCAUGUUAUCUCAAAACGUUUCAUAAAACGUAAUCAUUAAAUCAUGUCUUUCAUGUAUGCAUUUCUACUAUUAAAACAUGCUUUUGAAGGGGUCCACUCACAGUACUUAGCCGCCGAAGAGUCACGCAAACUAACGAACAAGAAAACGUCACCAAUAAUUGCCCCUAAGCACAUAAAGGGUCCAAUUAAUAAAACUCUAUUUUAACAAUUGAAUUGGGAAAACGGACUUCAAAAACGGGUCCAGGACGUCGAAAUUAGCCUAGGAGAGAUCCUGGACGAAAGCCAGAAUGGGCUUGGGGUUUGGGUUUUAAUUAAGCUAAAGGGACUUGGGAAAAGGGCUGAAAGCCCACUUUACAAUUGGCCCUAAGGCCUUACUUCCUAAAACAGAAAAUAAAUAAAAACCUUAAAAAGGUUUCUUGGGUUUGACUAAUGGGCUACGGGCCCUAAAUUCCUAAUGGCCCGAAGGCCUUUAAGGGUCCUAAAACAAUUACAAUUAAAUAAAAUAAUUAAAAGUAAAAUAGGCUAGGGUUUUGGGCUUGGCUCCCCAAACCACACGGGCCUAAGGCCCGCUUAGCAUGGAACCGGCCUGGGAGGCCUGUCUCGCCGGAGCACCACCACCGGAGCUUCACAGCUCCGGCCGACUUCCACACACAACCCUAGACUUCGAUCUAGGUACCAAAACGAAGAGCAAGACGAGGGGAGUAUUUCUAUACCUUCCUUUCGUCGUGGAAUGGACGGAGAUGGCCGGAAAAACCCCCGAGGUCGCCGGAGUUGGGUGUGCUUACACCCGGCUUCGAUUUCGUCCUAUAACCUCCAAAAAUCACGAAUUAACUCCAAUUAAACCUCAAUCUCGCAAGAAUCAAGGACGAAAAGAGAGAAUUAGGGGCUUACCUAACCGGAGAUUGAAAAAUCUCGCCGGAGCUCCUUUUCCGGUUCUCUGGGGUCGCGGGAACGAGAGGGAGAGAGAGAGAGAGCAGGACGCGGUGAUGAAGGGUGAUGGGCUUCCUCGCGCGGGGAGAUGGGUGCGUGCAUGUGUGCGCGGUGCAGAGAAGAGGGAGAGAAGUGAGAGAUGAGAGAGAGCCGAGAGGGAGAGACAGGAAGAAAGAAAAGAAAAACAGAAAAGAAGAAGGAGAAAUUGUUUGGGGUGCUGCCAAGUGGCAGAUUUAGAAAGAAAGGGAUCCAUUUUCAGAUUGGGUAGAUAAAAUGGGACAAAAUUGAUAUAAUUAAAAUGUUUUGGGGUAAUUACAUACAUAUAUUUUUAUAAUUAGAGGGCGGGUGUUACAAUAUUGACAAAGAUAAGCUUCACUGCAACCACUGCAAUGGAACAAGGCACACCGAAGAAACUUGUUUUGAAAUACACACAUACCCAGAAUGGUACUGGGAAAAAAUGAAGCAAUUGAAGGCCAAAAGGAGGAAGUCGGGCCAGGCUGAACUGGUCGAGAGACAGGACCUGGAUCCAACGGGAUUAAAGGCCGAAAUGAAGCAAUUAAUGAGCAAAUGAAUAUCUAAACUGGCCUUAACAAUUUUCAGCAAUAAAAAACAUGUCCCUUUAUCGAAGUUGCAUAAAUUACAGAACCUUGGGAUUAAGGAGGAAUAAAAAGCCCAAAUUCCAAUCAAGAAAAAAAAAAUUGUAUGUAAAUUUAAGCUUUACCUGUAGAUUGGCAGCAGCAAAAGCAUACUGGAUCCAACGGGAGCGAGAACUGGAUGCCCAGCCCUUGACACGUUAUCGAGUGAGUUUAGGGAUCUGGGUUUUGUGUUUGCCGUUGAAUUUUGGAAUGAUCUGGAGAAAUUUGGGUUUUAGGGUUCUAAGGAUUUGAGUGAACCGAAACUGAUUUGGAUGAGCAACUUUUGGUUUCGAUUCGCGGUGGAGCAAGGAUGAAGAGGUGGAGGAGGUAGGAACGAAAGGGUGAGAAAAUUUGGAUAGGCGGGAUUCGGUUUCGUUUCGAAUCAGGAC